AGGAAAAUAUGGUAAUUCCACAAAUACCACAUGUGGUAGAAGGAGGAACUAGGAUGGAGGAUAUUGAUGAUGACGGCGAUUCUACUUAUAUGCCUGAAAGUGAAAGUGAAAGUGGGAGUGAUAUAGUUUCCGACUUUGAGUAUUUUGCUGAGAGUGAUAGCCUAAGUGACACAUGUGAUCCAAUAGGUGAUGAAUUCGAGCACAUGAAUAACUUCAUGUGCUCAUGUGAUAGCCUAAGUGACACAUGUGAUCCAAUCGGUGAUGAAUUCGAGCA
Molecule: long non-coding RNA, 274 nt
Filed under: Erythranthe guttata (spotted monkey flower)
Lineage: Eukaryota; Viridiplantae; Streptophyta; Magnoliopsida; Lamiales; Phrymaceae
Description: long non-coding RNA (EGUT_LNC002928)
Source: RNAcentral